GACGAACGCUGGCGGCGUGCUUAACACAUGCGAGUCGAACGGAAAGGCCCUGCUUUUGUGGGGUGCUCGAGUGGCGAACGGGUGAGUAACACGUGAGUAACCUGCCCUUGACUUUGGGAUAACUUCAGGAAACUGGGGCUAAUACCGGAUAGGAGCUCCUGCGGCAUGGUGGGGGUUGGAAAGUUUCGGCGGUUGGGGAUGGACUCGCGGCUUAUCAGCUUGUUGGUGGGGUAGUGGCUUACCAAGGCUUUGACGGGUAGCCGGCCUGAGAGGGUGACCGGCCACAUUGGGACUGAGAUACGGCCCAGACUCCUACGGGAGGCAGCAGUGGGGAAUAUUGCACAAUGGGCGGAAGCCUGAUGCAGCAACGCCGCGUGCGGGAUGACGGCCUUCGGGUUGUAAACCGCUUUCGCCUGUGACGAAGCGUGAGUGACGGUAAUGGGUAAAGAAGCACCGGCUAACUACGUG
RNAcentral lists this ribosomal RNA (468 nucleotides) under uncultured bacterium. RNAcentral's name for it is "partial 16S ribosomal RNA". It matches the Rfam family "Bacterial small subunit ribosomal RNA", at positions 28 to 507 of the family's 1533-position model. The record is from RNAcentral.